AGCAGCCGCGGUAAUUCCAGCUCCAAUAGCGUAUAUUAAAGUUGUUGCAGUUAAAAAGCUCGUAGUUGAAUUUCGGGAUCAGUUCGCUGGUCGUGCCUUGGUAUGUACUGGUGUUACUGGUUCCUACCUUCUGACGAACCGUCAUGUCAUUAAUUUGGUGUGGCGGGGAAUCAGGACUGUUACUUUGAAAAAAUUAGAGUGUUUAAAGCAGGCUCGCGCUUGAAUACAUUAGCAUGGAAUAAUGAAAUAGGACGUUCGAUCCUAUUUUGUUGGUUUCUAGGAUUGACGUAAUGAUUAAUAGGGAUAGUUGGGGGCAUUAGUAUUCAAUUGUCAGAGGUGAAAUUCUUGGAUUUAUUGAAGACUAACUACUGCGAAAGCAUUUGCCAAGGAUGUUUUCAUUAAUCAAGAACGAAAGUUAGGGGAUCGAAGACGAUCAGAUACCGUCGUAGUCUUAACCAUAAACUAUG
This 467-nucleotide small RNA is filed under the name uncultured Glomus. RNAcentral's name for it is "SSU rRNA". It matches the Rfam family "Eukaryotic small subunit ribosomal RNA", at positions 569 to 1041 of the family's 1831-position model. Lineage: Eukaryota; Fungi; Glomeromycota; Glomeromycetes; Glomerales; Glomeraceae. The record is from RNAcentral.